Molecule: long non-coding RNA, 249 nt
Filed under: Spirodela polyrhiza (greater duckweed)
Lineage: Eukaryota; Viridiplantae; Streptophyta; Magnoliopsida; Alismatales; Araceae
Description: long non-coding RNA (SPOL_LNC001058)
Source: RNAcentral
AGAGAGAGAGAGAGAGACCAAUGAGUGGGGAAAUGGAAAGUUUGCUAUCGUCCAACGGGAUUAUUGGGCCUUGACGGCUGCGGGCGGUCAUUCGUCUCUCGUAGGCUUGCCAGCCCGGAAACCGUCCUUAAUGGGCCGAAACAUGGGGCCCAUUUGUGAAAUGAAAAGCCGUGGAGACCGACCUUUCCCGCCCGUCGAACUUCGCCGACUUCGAUGCGGGUCCACACUCACUGAGAAACGAAAGCUCUC